GAAGGUGAGGAGAAAUGCUCUCAGUGAAGGUGAGGAGAAAUGCUCUCAGUGGAAGGUGAGGAGAAAUGCUCUCAGUGGAAGGUGAGGAGAAAUGCUCUCAGUGGAAGGUGAGGAGAAAUGCUCUCAGUGAAGGUGAGGAGAAAUGCUCUCAGUGGAAGGUGAGGAGAAAUGCUCUCAGUGGAAGGUAAGGAGAAAUGCUCUCAGUGAAGGUGAGGAGAAAUGCUCUCAGUGGAAGGUGAGGAGAAAUGCUCUCAGUGAAGGUGAGGAGAAAUGCUCUCAGUGAAGGUGAGGAGAAAUGCUCUCAGUGGAAGGUGAGGAGAAAUGCUCUCAGUGGAAGGUGAGGAGAAAUGCUCUCAGUGAAGGUGAGGAGAAAUGCUCUCAGUGGAAGGUGAGGAGAAAUGCUCUCAGUGAAGGUGAGGAGAAAUGCUCUCAGUGGAAGGUGAGGAGAAAUGCUCUCAGUGAAGGUGAGGAGAAAUGCUCUCAGUGAAGGUGAGGAGAAAUGCUCUCAGUGAAGGUGAGGAGAAAUGCUCUCAGUGAAGGUGAGGAGAAAUGCUCUCAGUGGAAGGUGAGGAGAAAUGCUCUCAGUGGAAGGUGAGGAGAAAUGCUCUCAGUGAAGGUGAGGAGAAAUGCUCUCAGUGGAAGGUGAGGAGAAAUGCUCUCAGUGAAGGUGAGGAGAAAUGCUAUCAGUGAAGGUGAGGAGAAAUGCUCUCAGUGAAGGUGAGGAGAAAUGCUCUCAGUGAAGGUGAGGAGAAAUGCUCUCAGUGAAGGUGAGGAGAAAUGCUCUCAGUGGAAGGUGAGGAGAAAUGCUCUCAGUGGAAGGUGAGGAGAAAUGCUCUCAGUGGAAGGUGAGGAGAAAUGCUCUCAGUGGAAGGUGAGGAGAAAUGCUCUCAGUGAAGGUGAGGAGAAAUGCUCUCAGUGAAGGUGAGGAGAAAUGCUCUCAGUGAAGGUGAGGAGAAAUGCUCUCAGUGAAGGUGAGGAGAAAUGCUCUCAGUGGAAGGUGAGGAGAAAUGCUCUCAGUGGAAGGUGAGGAGAAAUGCUCUCAGUGAAGGUGAGGAGAAAUGCUCUCAGUGGAAGGUGAGGAGAAAUGCUCUCAGUGAAGGUGAGGAGAAAUGCUCUCAGUGGAAGGUGAGGAGAAAUGCUCUCAGUGGAAGGUGAGGAGAAAUGCUCUCAGUGGAAGGUGAGGAGAAAUGCUCUCAGUGAAGGUGAGGAGAAAUGCUCUCAGUGAAGGUGAGGAGAAAUGCUCUCAGUGGAAGGUGAGGAGAAAUGCUCUCAGUGAAGGUAAGGAGAAAUGCUCUCAGUGGAAGGUGAGGAGAAAUGCUCUCAGUGGAAGGUGAGGAGAAAUGCUCUCAGUGGAAGGUAAGGAGAAAUGCUCUCAGUGGAAGGUGAGGAGAAAUGCUCUCAGUGGAAGGUGAGGAGAAAUGCUCUCAGUGGAAGGUGAGGAGAAAUGCUCUCAGUGAAGGUGAGGAGAAAUGCUCUCAGUGGAAGGUGAGGAGAAAUGCUCUCAGUGGAAGGUGAGGAGAAAUGCUCUCAGUGGAAGGUGAGGAGAAAUGCUCUCAGUGAAGGUGAGGAGAAAUGCUCUCAGUGAAGGUGAGGAGAAAUGCUCUCAGUGAAGGUGAGGAGAAAUGCUAUCAGUGAAGGUAAGGAGAAAUGCUCUCAGUGAAGGUGAGGAGAAAUGCUUAUCAGUGGAAGGUGAGGAGAAAUGCUCUCAGUGAAGGUGAGGAGAAAUGCUCUCAGUGAAGGUGAGGAGAAAUGCUAUCAGUGGAAGGUGAGGAGAAAUGCUCUCAGUGGAAGGUGAGGAGAAAUGCUCUCAGUGGAAGGUGAGGAGAAAUGUUCUCAG
Long non-coding RNA from Oncorhynchus keta (chum salmon), 1837 nucleotides. RefSeq lists it as uncharacterized. The transcript has 12 exons. The record is from RefSeq and is a predicted model, not a curated record. NCBI's taxonomy places the organism in Eukaryota, Metazoa, Chordata, Actinopteri, Salmoniformes, Salmonidae.